GCUCGGCGUGGCGCACGGCGAGCGGGUGGCGAUCUGGGCGCCGAACAUCUGGGAGUGGAUCGUCGCCGCCACCGCGCU
Molecule: transfer RNA, 78 nt
Filed under: compost metagenome
Description: tRNA-Gln
Source: RNAcentral